This 346-nucleotide unclassified non-coding RNA is filed under the name soil metagenome. RNAcentral describes it as "partial contains 5.8S ribosomal RNA, internal transcribed spacer 2, and large subunit ribosomal RNA". The stretch from base 1 to 119 matches the Rfam family "5.8S ribosomal RNA", at positions 35 to 154 of the family's 154-position model. The record is from RNAcentral.
GAUGAAGAACGCAGCGAAAUGCGAUACGUAAUGUGAAUUGCAAAUUCAGUGAAUCAUCGAGUCUUUGAACGCACAUUGCGCCCCCUGGUAUUCCGGGGGGCAUGCCUGUCCGAGCGUCAUUGCUGCCGUCAAGCACGGCUUGUGUGUUGGGCCCCGUCCUCCGAUCCCGGGGGACGGGCCCGAAAGGCAGCGGCGGCACCGCGUCCGGUCCUCGAGCGUAUGGGGCUUUGUCACCCGCUCUGUAGGCCCGGCCGGCGCUUGCCGAUCAACCCAAAUUUUUUAUCCAGGUUGACCUCGGAUCAGGUAGGGAUACCCGCUGAACUUAAGCAUAUCAAUAAGCGGAGGA